UCCUCUUCUCGCAUGUGAGGAACCUGUGCUGCAAAGGGAAAGAGACCACGACUUUAACUCAGCAGUUUUCCUUCCUGCUGCGGGUCCCUCGUCACUGCCGCCGCAGCUCUCCACCUUCCCUGUGCGUGCUCGAGCUUUUCCUCCAGGUGCCCACAGCGGGCACCGGGGCUGCCUUGUGCUGUGUGCUGAGAUCGGAGCCCGCCGGGACCCCGGUGUCAGCCCCGUGCUCUCCCUCCCUGUGGCCCCAGGGCUCGGCGAGGGCAGGGUUGGUCCUGUCUGACUCAGCCUGCGUCUGGGGACGGGGUCAUGGCUGAGGGAGUGAGAGGCAUCGUCACCGAGAUGGCAGCCAGAUUCAGGAGAACUGCUGUCUGUGACGUACUGGGGAAAAUGGGAGACUCUGUGGCCCUUCAUUCACCCUACAUGAAUAGCAGCUUCGAAGCGAUUUCAUUUGCUCUCAGAAGCAGCACCCUCUCCGAUGACUAACAGUUCCUGAUGGGUGAAACAUAAAGUGGACUGCUUUUUUUUUUUUUUUUUUUUUUUUUUUUAACAUUUUUUUGCUGUCAAGGCAUGACGUUGGACUUUUCACUUCUGGAAACCUGCUUUCUAGCACUCUUGUCGGAAUUUGCAAUGUGACUCAUAUCAACCUCAUAUCAACAGAAAUGAAGGAGCGCGUGUUCUGUGCGAGCAUGGGCAGCCAAUGGGGCUUCCUUAGAAGAAAGCAGUAUGUUUGCAGCCAGUGGAAGAUCCUCUUCAGCAUCAGGAUCAGGCGCUGAGGUCCCUUCUCUGUGGUUGCUCUCCAUGUCGCUUGGGAUGGCC
This is a long non-coding RNA of Oxyura jamaicensis (ruddy duck), 816 nucleotides long. RefSeq lists it as uncharacterized. Lineage: Eukaryota; Metazoa; Chordata; Aves; Anseriformes; Anatidae. The transcript is spliced from 4 exons. The record is from RefSeq and is a predicted model, not a curated record.